Molecule: ribosomal RNA, 253 nt
Filed under: uncultured bacterium
Lineage: Bacteria
Description: partial 16S ribosomal RNA
Rfam family: Bacterial small subunit ribosomal RNA
Source: RNAcentral
UACGUAGGGGGCAAGCGUUGUUCGGAAUUACUGGGCGUAAAGGGCGCGUAGGCGGCAUGGCAAGUCGGGAGUGAAAGGCCUGGGCUCAACCCAGGAACUGCUUUCGAGACUGCCAAGCUAGAGUGCGGAAGGGGCAACUGGAAUUCCCAGUGUAGCGGUGAAAUGCGUAGAUAUUGGGAAGAACACCGGUGGCGUAGGCGACUCGCUGGGCCGCAACUGACGCUGAGGAACGAAAGCCAGGGGAGCGAAUGGG